Rattus norvegicus (Norway rat) is the source of this 2199-nucleotide non-coding RNA. Lineage: Eukaryota; Metazoa; Chordata; Mammalia; Rodentia; Muridae. The record is from RefSeq and is a predicted model, not a curated record.
CUAUGCGCCCAGGACAUUCUGGCUGUCUUUUCUCUCAUUUUUGUUUUGGAAACAGGGUCAUAUUACACAGCCCUGGCUAGCCUGGCUCCUAGAACUCACUGUGUAGACCAGGCUUGGUCUUGAACUCACAGAGAUCUACUCAGGCUGUGUUCAUAGACCCACAGACUGGCCUCUGCCCACCACAGCUGACCUAUAAUUGUGCUUCUGGGCUCUCCUCUACGUGGCUGUCAUUGUAUCUUGCCUAGUAGCCCAUAGUGUCAUACACUGGCCAUGUCACAUGACUACUGGUCGCGUGUUCAUGCCAUGCUAGACUCUCAAGUUCUACCUGUACCACCGCACCCUGAUCGGCUCUCAUCUUAAUGUUAUUGUAUUCAAUUUUUAUAAAAAUUCGUGAGAUAUUUGUCUAUUUUACAAACCAAGAAAUUGUUGGGAGAGCAAGAGGGUGCCAGUGAGUCAAACUCAGGGCUGGCUAACUUUAUGCCAGGCAAAUUCUCUCCCCCUGAGCCACGUCUCUCAGUCAUGUAAAGAAAUGAACUCUGUCAAAGUUCUGUACUUAGCUAAGUACCACAGAAAAAGGGUGGGGCUUGGAGCACAGAGUGGAGGUCUUUUCUGCCUACAGCUCCCAGAGAAAUCUCUGCCGGGGUGCCGAGGGAGGCUGUCUUUCUCUUUCAGUUUCGUCUUCUCUGUCUCUUCUUCCCGGACUCUGGCUGGUGCCCUGUUUUCACCGCGUAAGAAUGGGGGUGAAUGUCUUAGCAUUUAUCAAGCCUUAUUUCCCAGGCUCCAGAUCCUAUUUAAACCCCUUGCUUUGGAAUCUAUCCUGACGUAAAGUCAUCGAAACACAGGGAACGUUUGAUGGCGGAUCUUGAGCUCGAGAGCGCACCGGCGAGCACGUGCUGGGGGGGGGGCGGGGAGGGGCUUGCUGGAGCGGAUUACCCUUCCUCUCUGGGGAGUUUGAGGGGGUGCACGGAGCGUACUGAGAAUCUGUGGGUCUCACAUGCUGCCGCCUGUGUGGAUGAGGCCAGUCGAGGAGCGCCCCGCUUUGAAAAACAACCCCUACAAAAUCCAACUCCGUCCUGUCCUCAGCAAACAAAGCUAAGUUUGACCACAGCAGGUGUUUCAUAUCUGCUAACACCUCAGGGUGCUGCUGGCUGUCUUUGCAGGGAGAUGGCAGACACUUGACCACAGUCUCUGUGUUGUCAAGGGCUGGCCAAGAGGCUGUUUCCCAGGCAAAAGACCUGCUGUGUACCUAAGCUUCUCCACACUUUCUGGAUUUUCCUAAGGUAGGGGACCCUGGGGUCAGAGGGACACACCUCAUUUUGUCUGAUUUUAUCUAUAAAACGAUCUAUCUGCCAAUGGCUGCUCACAUAGCCCCAGAGUAGAGGACUUGCUUCCUAUGCCCGAGGUUAUGGGUUCAUUUCCGGGCAGUUGAAAUCCAUCCCUGACAUUCAUUGUUUUCAGACUCCUCCUUUGGCUGUGUUGCUUAGAAACCUCUGCUUCACCUUCUGGAAGGUUCCACUAGGCAGCCUGCCUAUCCAUGAGAGGAAGUUUUAGGCGAAUGAAGUCCACACUACCUGAUUGGGGUGGCUGAAUUUCUCAGGGUUCCAGGACGGAGCCAACCUGGUUCCAUCUGUCGGCCUUGCCUCCUCUCUCUUUCCCCUUUUACUCUGCCUGAACCUGGUCACCAAGAUUGCUGCACCCAAUGGUAAAAUCCUCAACUUCCCUGGCUGAAAACAAGAGCUUGGAAAACCCUAACAGCCCGGAUAGCGACAGGGAAGUGACGUCCGCCAGGGGGCGCCCCGCCCUUAACUGGACUCUGCAGGCCUGGCGUGCAGCCGGACAGCAGGCGACCAUGGCUCAGAAGGGCCUUUGAUGGACAGGCGGUGAAUGGGUCACAGAGUCACUAAUGGCUUCGUCGUCCGCUAUCCGCCACCCGCCGCCCGCCGCUCGCCGCUGGAGGAGGAAAUGGCCCUGCCCAGGCAUCGAUCUUGCAAGCGGCUGAGCAGCUGCUGUGGUUCCAGGGAGGCUGCCUGCUCCAGAGGCCCUCCUGUGUCCAAUCCUGAGGCCCUGCGCUUCUCUGCCUCCCUUCCUGCCUUGUUUUGCUUCAGUCCACUUAUCCUUCCUUCCUCAAUGUUUCUAGCCCCAGUUGACUGGGUGUGUACCCUCAAUAAAGCCAUCUUCUUAAGGCACUUGUAACCAUAA